Molecule: ribosomal RNA, 492 nt
Filed under: uncultured bacterium
Lineage: Bacteria
Description: partial 16S ribosomal RNA
Rfam family: Bacterial small subunit ribosomal RNA
Source: RNAcentral
AGUGAACGCUGGCGGUAGUCCUAACACAUGCAAGUCGAACGGCAGCACAGUAAGAGCUUGCUCUUACGGGUGGCGAGUGGCGGACGGGUGAGGAAUACAUCGGAAUCUACUUUUUCGUGGGGGAUAACGUAGGGAAACUUACGCUAAUACCGCAUACGACCUACGGGUGAAAUCAGGGGAUCUUCGGACCUUGCGCGAUUGAAUGAGCCGAUGUCGGAUUAGCUAGUUGGCGGGGUAAAGGCCCACCAAGGCGACGAUCCGUAGCUGGUCUGAGAGGAUGAUCAGCCACACUGGAACUGAGACACGGUCCAGACUCCUACGGGAGGCAGCAGUGGGGAAUAUUGGACAAUGGGCGCAAGCCUGAUCCAGCCAUACCGCGUGGGUGAAGAAGGCCUUCGGGUUGUAAAGCCCUUUUGUUGGGAAAGAAAAGCAGCAGGUUAAUACCCCGCUGUUCUGACGGUACCCAAAGAAUAAGCACCGGCUAACUUCGUG